GACCGAUUCUGGCUCAGAUUGAACUGGCGGGAUGCUUUACAUGCAAGUCGAACGGCAGCACGGACUUCGGUCUGGUGGCGAGUGGCGAACAGGUGAGUAAUGUAUCGGAACGUGCCUAGUAGCGAGGAUAACUGCACUUGGCCGUAGCUAAUACCGCAUACGCGCCCUUCGGGGGAAAGCGGGGGACCUUCGGGCCUGCACUCUUGAAACAGCCGAUAUCGGAUUAGCUAGUUGGUGGGUAACGGCUCACCAAGGCGACGAUCCGUAGCUGGUUUGAGAGGACGACCAGCCACACUGGGACUGAGACACGGCCCAGACUCCUACGGGAGGCAGCAGUGGGAAUUUUGGACAAUGGAAAACCUGAUCUAGCCAUCCCGCGUGUGCGAUGAAGGCCUUCGGGUUGUAAAGCACUUUUGGCAGGAAAGAAACGGCACGGGAUAAUACCCCGUGCAACUGACGGCACCUGCAAAAUAAGCACCGGCCUAACUACGUGCCAGCAGCCGCGGUAAUACGUAGGGUGCAAGCGUUAAUCGGAAUUACUGGGCGUAAAGCGUGCGCAGGCGGUUCGGAAAGAAAGAUGUGAAAUCCCAGAGCUUAACUUUGGAACUGCAUUUUUAACUACCGAGCUAGAGUGUGUCAGAGGGAGGUGGAGAUUCCGCGAUGUAGCAGUGAAAUGCGUAGAUAUGCGGAGGAACACCGAUGGCGAAGGCAGCCUCCUGGGAUAACACUGACGCUCAUGCGAAAGCGUGGGGAGCAAACAGGAUUAGAUACCCUGGUAGUCCACGCCUAAACGAUGUCAACUAGCUGUUGGGGCCGGGCCUUGGUGGCAGCUAACGCGUGAAGUUGACCGCCUGGGAAGUACGGUCAUAAGAUUAAAACUCAAAGGAAUUGACGGGGACCCGCACAGCGGUGGAUGAUGUGGAUUAAUUCGAUGCAACGCGAAAAGCCUUACCUACCCUUGACAUGUCUGGAAUCCCGAAGAGAUUUGGGAGUGCUCGCGAAGAACCGGAACACAGGUGCUGCAUGGCUGUCGUCGCAGCUCGUGUCCGUGAGAUGUUGGGUUGAGUCCCGCAACGAGCGCAACCCUUGUCAUUAGUUGCUACGAGGGGCACUCUAAUGGUUUGCCGGUGACAAACCGGAGGAAGGUGGGGAUGACGUCAAGUCCUCAUGGCCCUUAUGGGUAGAGGGCUUCACACGUCAUACAAUGGUCAGGACCAGAGGAAUGCUUCCAACCCGCGAGGAGUAAUCAGAAACCCGAUCGUAGUCCAGAUCCGCAGUCUUAACUCGACUGCGUGAAGUCCAGAAUCGCAGUAAUCGCGGAUCAGCAUGUCGCCGGUGAAUACCGUUCAGAUCUUGUACACACCACUUGUCACACCAUGGGAGUGGGUUACAGAAAUUAGCCGCUUCUAACCGUAAAGGAGGGCGAUUACCACGGUAGGAUUCAUGACUGGGGUGAAGUCAUAACAAAGGAGU
RNAcentral lists this ribosomal RNA (1473 nucleotides) under uncultured Bordetella sp. Its description in RNAcentral is "partial 16S-23S ribosomal RNA intergenic spacer". It matches the Rfam family "Bacterial small subunit ribosomal RNA". Lineage: Bacteria; Pseudomonadati; Pseudomonadota; Betaproteobacteria; Burkholderiales; Alcaligenaceae. The record is from RNAcentral.